GCACUGCUGACGAGUCCCAACCAGGACAAAACAGCUGUCCAGUGC
This is a non-coding RNA of Echinostoma caproni, 45 nucleotides long. The record is from Rfam. Lineage: Eukaryota; Metazoa; Platyhelminthes; Trematoda; Plagiorchiida; Echinostomatidae.